GAUGAACGCUGGCGGCGUGCCUAAUACAUGCAAGUCGAGCGAAAAGACGAGGAGCUUGCUCCUCUGACGUUAGCGGCGGACGGGUGAGUAACACGUGGAUAACCUACCUAUAAGACUGGGAUAAAUUCGGGAAACCGGAGCUAAUACCGGAUAAUAUAUUGAACCGCAUGGUUCAAUAGUGAAAGACGGUUUUGCUGUCACUUAUAGAUGGAUCCGCGCCGCAUUAGCUAGUUGGUAAGGUAACGGCUUACCGAGGCAACGAUGCGUAGCCGACCUGAGAGGGUGAUCCGCCACACUGGAACUGAGACACGGUCCAGACUCCUACGUGACGCAGCAGUAGGGAAUCUUCCGCAAUGGGCGAAAGCUUGACGGAGCACCGCCGCGUGAGUGAUGAAGGUCUUCGGAUCGUAAAACUCUGUUAUUAGUGAAGAACAAAUGUGUAAGUAACUAUGCACGUCUUGACGGUACCUAAUCAGAAAGCCACGGCUAACUACGUG
RNAcentral lists this ribosomal RNA (497 nucleotides) under uncultured bacterium. Its description in RNAcentral is "partial 16S ribosomal RNA". It matches the Rfam family "Bacterial small subunit ribosomal RNA", at positions 28 to 507 of the family's 1533-position model. The record is from RNAcentral.